CCUACGGGAGGCAGCAGUAGGGAAUCUUCCGCAAUGGACGAAAGUCUGACGGAGCAACGCCGCGUGAGCGAAGAAGGCCUUCGGGUCGUAAAGCUCUGUUGUAAGGGAAGAACAAGUACCGGAGUAACUGCCGGUACCUUGACGGUACCUAACCAGAAAGCCACGGCUAACUACGUGCCAGCAGCCGCGGUAAU
RNAcentral lists this ribosomal RNA (194 nucleotides) under uncultured Bacillus sp. RNAcentral describes it as "partial 16S ribosomal RNA". It matches the Rfam family "Bacterial small subunit ribosomal RNA", at positions 338 to 524 of the family's 1533-position model. Lineage: Bacteria; Bacillati; Bacillota; Bacilli; Caryophanales; Bacillaceae. The record is from RNAcentral.